UAUGCGUUGCAGCCAACAGGUGCCUCGUCCAUUCGGAGAGGUGAAAAGGGAAGCCGGUGCGAUUCCGGCGCGGUCCCGCCACUGUAAAUCGGGUUGCAUUCUCCAUGCCACUGUUUUCAUGUAAAACGGGAAGGGGAGGGUGUCUGAUACCCGCAAGCCAGGAGACCUGCCUGUUGGAGAUAGCCUUA
Molecule: non-coding RNA, 188 nt
Filed under: Brevibacillus panacihumi
Lineage: Bacteria; Bacillati; Bacillota; Bacilli; Caryophanales; Paenibacillaceae
Also listed under: 1 other name
Source: RNAcentral